UACGUAGGGUGCAAGCGUUGUCCGGAAUUAUUGGGCGUAAAGAGCUCGUAGGCGGUUCGUCGCGUCGGCUGUGAAAACCUGAGGCUCAACCUCAGGCCUGCAGUCGAUACGGGCGGACUUGAGUACUGCAGGGGAGACUGGAAUUCUCGGUGUAGCGGUGAAAUGCGUAGAUAUCGAGAGGAACACCUGCGGCGAAGGCGGGUUGCUGGGCUGACACUGACGCUGAAGCGCGAAAGCUAGGGGAGCGAACGGG
This 253-nucleotide ribosomal RNA is filed under the name uncultured bacterium. RNAcentral describes it as "partial 16S ribosomal RNA". It matches the Rfam family "Bacterial small subunit ribosomal RNA", at positions 524 to 776 of the family's 1533-position model. The record is from RNAcentral.